CCGGCUCAAAUCUGGUAUCAAGCUGUUACCCUAGCCUCAAGUGUGGUGGUUUUGGGUAAAUAACUCUAAAAAGGACCUUAUCCAUCCAUCCAAGGAAGCUUCUGAUGAUGCUAUACACUUUCCCAGAUUGACAUUAUUCUAUCCGAACUGCUUGACGAGGUCACUAUAAAACAUCAAUGUGCUUGGGCGACAAAAAAUGGCUGUGCUUCUCACUGUGCUCCGCAAUGUACCACAAAUUGUCAUCUGUUCGGAGCAACCUUAUCAGCUCAGGACAUUCACAUCGACAUGAUGAUGUCGUGUUCUCCACCCCCUCUUCCCCUGUCCAAAUCAACAAGACAGAAUUAAAACAUAACUCUGAUGUUGCACUUCACAAAAACAAUACAUUGAAUAACAUGCGGCGAUCUUGCUCGACAUUACUAACCGCGCAUCCACAAACUAUGUCCUGCAUACACGUCGUACUUUCAACAUUAAACCUGCUCUUCCCAUAUAUGUUACCAAAAACUUUCUCCCAAGAAUAAAGGUUCUAGAAAUCAUGCCUCGCCCAAAGAACCGAAACUUAUUCCUAGGGUAGGUAGGUAGUACGACACUCUCCAAUGGGUUAUCAGCCAAUUAUUGCUUUUUUUAGCUGUCACUUACUGCUUUCUCAAGAGCUGCCACCCUCGAUGGGCAUGGUGUCAUAGCAUGCCCAGCUCAAUAAUCACACAAUUGGUAAGAAGGAUUGAAAGAGCAGGUUCAUUAGCAAAAAUGCACAUUAGAAAAUCGUUUUACUUCUAGACAACAUGUCUACAAAUAAUGUGAGUUGGGCACACAUUCUUAUUUACGUACAUGCUUCUGCAAACCCACAUUUAAUGAAAUGGCAUUUGUUGUAAACACAUGGAUCAGCCUAUUUUUAGCUGUUGACCAACAGGAUACUGCAUAUUUCCUACUCCUGUGUUGUCUAAGUGCUAAAAUAGUACAGUGAGACAAUCCAAAGCAUUGAACCUGUGUUAUCCAAGUAAUAAUUAACUGUCUCAUGGUAAAAGUGUUUUUCUUAUGAAAAUGAUUUUGCAGAUCCGGUUAUAGUGAACCAACGUCUAUCGUGGACACAUGGAUCUGUACUGAUUAUCCUAUUUUUAGCUGCCGAUCAACAAGAUAAUGCAUAGUUCCUAAUUCUUUGCUAUCAAAGUGCUAAAAGUAGAACCAGUGGGAAUUUCUGGUGUUGUCAAAUUACUGAACUUGUGUUAUUAAAUUACUAAAUUCUCGUCUCACAGCAGCAGUAAUUUUCGUACAAUGAAAAAUUCAUACCCAGUGCCCUCUGAAGCUGUUAAACCAAAUUAACAACACAAUUGCCUGGUCACUCCUUCCGGGUCUUAUUAUAACCUAUGCGGGGUGGAUUUGCAAAGCUCAUUAAUCCAGUGCAUUAUUUAAGAAUAUCCUUACCAUGCAGUCUAUUCCAACAACAAGCUACGUUGCUUACAGCUCUGUUAAUCUUAGUAUGCAUCGAACUAACCUGUUAGCCCACAGCUUGUGGGUUCACCUUGCCCAUCCACAGAUCCGACCCCUGCGACGAGUUUUCCCGUCGGCCAUCCACACGUCCCACUUCCUCACAGGUCUGCGCCUCCGCACUCCUGGCUGCCGCCAGCGCCUGCUCAACAUCGCUUGCCGACGCCAUGUGUCCUUACGGUUCUCUCAGGUAUUCCAU
Molecule: long non-coding RNA, 1681 nt
Filed under: Triticum aestivum (bread wheat)
Lineage: Eukaryota; Viridiplantae; Streptophyta; Magnoliopsida; Poales; Poaceae
Description: long non-coding RNA (TAES_LNC022528)
Source: RNAcentral